GGUCCCUGACUACAACACAAUGAUGCAUUUCUUUGUGGAAAAAGGACAGAAGUUCUAAGAUAGCCUCUUUGGGUUGAUACUGAACUUUUUUUUCAUGAGUUCUUUUAAUGUGUUGGCCAAAAUUCAAUUUACUAAGUUAGGAAUGUAUCAGGGUAAUUUUGCAAAAAAAAAAAAACAAACAAACAAACAAACAAACAAAACAAAAACAAAAAACAAAACAUUAACUAUGCACUUAUGUAUCAUUUAUUUAUUUAUUUAUUUAUUUAUUCCUGAGGACAACAUGUGUGCUAUGAUGCAUAUAUAUAAUUAAAGAACAGCUGGGCAUGGUGGCACACGCCUUUAAUCCCAGCACUUGGGAGGCAGAGGCAGGUGAAUUUCUGAGUUCGAGGCCAGCCUGGUCUACAGAGUGAGUUCCAGGGCAGCCAGGGCUACACAGAGAAACCAUGUCUCGAAAAACAAAACAAAAAAAAAAUUAAAGAACAAUUUUCAUAAGUCAGUUCUCUUUACACCAUACGGGUCCUGGAGGAUUGAACUCAGGUCCUCGGGCUUGUCACCCAAGUGUCUUUAGCCUCUCACCAGACUGAGGAAUGCAUCACUGUGUUCAAAGAAUCUUUUGAUUGUUUUGUUGUUGUUGUUGUUAUUUAUUGUUGUUCUUGCUGCUGCUGUUGUUUUUUAAUUAAUGAUUUGAUGUUUAAGGAUGAUUUUAGCUCUUUUAAAGAAGUUGUGUGACCAGGUCAUCCGGGUCAAUCAGCCUUUCUGCUAUGGCACACCGCUGGGCCUUCCUGUGCAGGCACUCUUCAGUAUGGGAUACAAUCAGAGCUUCCAUCUUGAGGUCUUGACUUCAAAUGCAGCCUGCUCAAGGCCAAAGAAUGGCCACUUGACUCAGGAGAUAAUAACUGCCCUUUUAAAACUUGUUUCUCAUUUGAAGUGGUACUAUGAAGUAGAGAGCUAGUCACUGCCCCCAUGUGAGAAACUCCCCAGUGACAGCCAUUCAGCUUAUCAGAGACAUGAGCAGGGGAAUCGUGGCAUCUCAAACUCCCUUUAGCAGUGAGCUAGGAACAAGAUGGCCCAGGGCUCAGCAGCAUACCACACCCUGCCUGCUGCAGGGAGUAGAACAUAGACAGUGACUUUACAUGGAGGCUCUGCUCUGUGCAGCGCAUGGGCUGCUGUGGUGCUCACUCACUUACUGCUGUAAGUCAGUACAGAUGUCAGUCACCUACAGUAAAGUGAGGCUGGUGUCAGCAUACAGUUGUGUCUGACCUAGUGUUUCGGCCUAGAGUCCUCACAGGCUUCCUGCUACCUUAGCUGCCUCUUUAAAACUUGCAAUUUAGAAGAUUCUGUGUUUUCCCACUAGACCCAUUUUUUUCCACUUGCCCACCUCUGCUGUUCUCUAACACGGCGGAGCCAGCCAGUCCCAUUCUCUGCAGUCUAGUGGCAUACAGCACCAGGCUCUCCAGCAGUAGGCUUUUUUCUAAUACUCUGCUGGCUUUGGAACACUGCUCCCCAUGAGUGCCUCUCGAGCCGCCCGAAUUACAGCACUGUCAGACUUAGAAGGUGAGGUCAGUGUCCCUUGUCUCGGAGCCAGCACUGUCCUGGCUUCUGCACAGGGUCACAUGCUGAAGUGCAUCUGGGCUGUCUACCUCCCUGGUGACCUUCUGCCUUGAGUAAGGAUCCUGAUGAUCGUGCAUGGUUUGUCCCCGAGGUUGUUUACAAGUUUCCUGUCCUGAAGUAGACCACAAAAGUACUGUCUGGCCCUCGCCUUGGCUAGCAAGAAAAUGAGCCUCCUCCCCACCGAUUGUCCAAAUUUGUAAGAAUAAGGAAACCCGGGAAUUUUGCCUGCUCGUGUUUUUCUUGGGAUCAGAGUUGGCUCUUCAUGAGAACAGUGCACUGGCGUGUUUGUCGUCAGAUUCCUCAAGCCAACUGGGACCAGUGAGAGCAGGGAAGGUGUUUCUCACUUGUGGAAGGCUGCUGUUCUUUGUGGCUGUUUUUAGUUUUAUUGUGUAUUUAUUCUUUGAUAACAUCAUACAUGUAAAUUAUAUAUUCUGAUCAAUAUCUAUUUAUUUAGUGGGGGGCACACAUGCAGUACAGUGAGUAUGGACAUCAAAGGGCAAUUAAUUAAGGACUCAGUUCUCUUCUCUCAUAUAGAUCCAUGGCUCAAAUCAGAGUAGUACCCAGGUGCUCAGAUAUGCAGAGCCAUCUCACCAGCCUUUUUGGUUUUGUUCUGAUCCACUGAGUUUUACUGAGGGUCAAGGUUAUUUACCAAGCAUGAGCAACUUAUUAAUGGCUACACCACUGAAGAAAGUCAUCCCGUACAGGGGCUAUGCCGAUAGUGUAAAGUGAGCUAAAUCCCGCUUGCUACCAUCCAACAAACACUGCCCUGAGUACAGUUUGUCUGGAGGUCUGUGUACUCAGCAGCCUGGUGGGACAGCCUUAAUUGGGAAGGGUGUGAGGGACCCCAUUUCACUGAGGACUGACAUAGUUACACAUGACAAUGGCACUAAAAUGGCUACCGGUUGUAUGCAUUUCCAAGUUGUCUCAGCCACUGUCAGGAUAUAUUUAGCUGCAGAAAACCAAACCUGGCUGGCUUCCUUCAUGAGGACACUUAACUUUCAUGGAGUAGGAUAUCUGGGGCAGAAAGCAGAAGCUGCCCUGACCUUGUUCCCUGUUGUGGAACUUAGACACUAUCUCUGUAGGCAGAGCAAGUGUGACCAAAGUUGGGCCUGUCAUUAAACACAACCUUUCCACCUCAGUAGGCGAACCAGGGGCUUGAACACAUGCAGUGGUGACAAGGGAAACUGAGGUCCUAUCUGGAGUAUGCUGACACACCAGACAUAGCACCAGACAUAGCCAUUGCUGACUUGUACUGUUCAAGGGCAGAGCUUCUAAGACAUUGGGGGGAUCAAGGGAACUCGGGAGAGGAGGUCUGAUUCAUGCUAGGUAGUGCUAUAGGAGAGGAGGUCUGAUUCAUGCUAGGUAGUGCUGUAGAUGGGACCUUUUCUGAAUUCAUAACAAGCUCAGCAAUGGCAGACCACACAUUGACUCCUUAGAGCAUGUUUUUCCCUUUGCUAUUUAAACACAAUUACUCUCAUAAUUUUUUGUGCCCCAUCAUUAAUGGUGCAUAAAUACUGCCUCAACUCCAAACAGUUCUUUUCUCUUUGCUUCAUUUUAAACAUUAAUUUUCUGGAACUGAAUUGAUGGCCUUAAGCAGGAUUCUACUUCUGCGCUUACUGAUGACCUCCGGGGUCUGCCUAGGCUUAACCUGCUCUUCUGUGAAUGCACUGCCACUCGAGACCUCUGUAUAGUGGGAAAAUCUAAUCCCGGCUACUAUGUGCAGAGUAGACUCUCCUCUGCCCGAAGGCCUCAGCCAUACAUUUACUAGUCCUCCUGCUUUCGGUGCCUUCACAGCUAGGUGUGUCAUCUUUUCUGCUGCCUUUUGAGAUCUGAAGUAUGGAGACCUAGAUCUAGCCGAGGUUUAACUUGAGUUCUGGGAUCCCAGCUUGAGGCAAAUUGUGGCUGUUUAGAGAAGUCCCUGGACUGUAGCUAGAAAUGAGACGGGGAUGCCCAGUGAGACAGAGACAAUGCCAGUAUCCCGUGACAGCCCAGCGUAAGAUAUAUCAGCUCAUCCUGUGUCAAAAGAUAAAACCCUCUGCUUGGCACCACCCCUUUCUCCUCUGACCUCCUACUCACUCACAUCUCUCCAGGGAGGCCCUGCCUGGUUGCCUGUCUCCUCUGUAAGAGGCAAGCCCAGUGUGUAGAGGGUGAGCCCAGGCUCAUGCAGUAAGGCAGGGCUGGUGGCCCCUUCAGAGCAGCAGCAUCUCAGUUCCCUAUCUGUCUGAGGAGGCUGGUGUCACUGACCCUAGCCUCUCAGACCAGUGGUGACAUUAAUUCAGCACAUAGGAAAAUGUAGGCACAGUGCAGCUGCUUCCUAUAUUUGAUACAAGACCUAACGCCACAGCUGCCACUGUGGGUGCUUAUUUUACCCUCUUCUCUUGUGGAAUAGAACAGACCACCAGAGACUUGCUCAAACAGCAGCCAAGACCCAAGAAGGGCAAGGCCACUUUGCAGAGUCAGUAACUAAAAUGUCAAAAGAAUAGAAUCUGUAUCUGAGAUCACUCACAUGUAAGACCUUUGUUGAAGCAAGGUGCCACAGCAAAUCCCAAGUAGCAGAACACCCCUGAGGAAACUGAACAUUCGUAUACCAUCUCAUUAGGAGUACCCUUGUGAGUUUUCCAAAAGCAGCCAGGCAAAACCACUAGCUUGGGCUGGGGGUAUAGUUCUGUGGUGCAGCAUUUGUCUAGCAAGUACAAGGCUGUAGGUUAGGAAACAUGUUUAUUCCAUAGUUUGGGAAAUUUUGCAUUUUCCCCCACGUUCUUGGGAAUUCACAUUUCCUACUUGAUCUUAGAAGACCUGAAAAAGUGAACAAAGAAAACUCAAAUUAAUCUAGAAAUUUUUGAAGGAAUUAAAAAAACUUUACAUAUUUUAAGUAUUUAUUAGAUAUUACAUAUUAUAAAAAUACAUAAAAACAGUUCCCACUGAGCCUACUUUGAAUAUGGUGCUAAAUUGCCCAAGAUAAAAGUGAAGGCUGCCCCUGACUGUCACAGUUGAUUGGUGGUGUUACUAAGUGCUCAGAGCCCCGAGCAUUACAGCCUCUGGAGCCAGAGCAUAAUCCUCUUGCUUGGACGACGUGACAGUACCUUCAUGUCUCUGUUCAACUCUGAACAAAUGAUGCAAUCACAGCAGGGAGUCGUGACCUAGAGCCGACCAUGUGCUUGGCUAAAAAUGAGACAGGAAACCAUCCCAGGAAUCUCAUGUGAAAUCCCAGCCUAGUGUUUCUCUACACUAUAAAUAUCUUAUAUAAAUUCUAUAAAUUUGAGACGCCUAGCUGAUUACUAUAGCCUCAGAUCUCUCUUAUCUUGAAAAAGUACUGCAAACAUGAACCUUUAAAUUUUAUCUUGUAGAAAGAACCACCAGCCUUUAGCUACAAGGAAUGAGUCUGUGCCUUCCCUGCACAUGGACCAAGGUGAUAAGAUCCUUCUGCAGAGUCAGUGACCAGCAAGGGGAAGGGCUUAUUUUUUGAAUAUUGAUGAUUCAAAAAAAAAAAAAAAGCCUCUGACUUUGCUAGAAACCAGAAAUCAUUUUCCUAGGAAAAUUGAUUUGCGAAUUCUUACUUGAUGGUUCAGCUUUAAAUUUCAUUAGAAAAUGGGAAGGUCGCCAGCUAGUGAACUUUUUACCUGAUUAGCUUCUGUCCUAGUUAGCUUCAGCUGUCAGAUUGACACAGCCCAGAGUCAUCUGAACAAGGCUCAGUUCAGAGAUUGCCCAGAUCAGAUUGGCCUGUGGCCAUGUCUGUGUGAGACUGUCCUGACUGAUGUAGAAGGCCCAGCCCACGCCUAGGCAACCCCAUGCAGAGGUAAGCGAGUCUUAGCUAUAUAAGGGAAGCUGGCUGUGUGAAUUUUCCUGUUGUUCCCAUACUGAACCCUUGCCUGACUUUCCACAGUGAUAGGCUGGGACCUAGACAUUAUAAGUCAAGUAGCCCUUUCCCACCAAGUUGCUUUUGGUCAGUGUUCUAUCUCAGCAUCAGAAAACAGGCUAGCAUCCCUUUUGCGAUGGCUUGGCUUGCCAACUCAAGCAGCACUCUUCCCUGUGUUUGCAUCCACAGUUCACCUUGUAGGGAAAGCAGCUUGUUACACCCACAACACGAAAAUGUCUGCUCUUCAUAGCUGCAGCCUGUACAUUACUCACACAAAAGUGAAAUCUGAAAUGCUUCAGACUCCAACAUGAGGCCACAAGUAGAAGACUCCACCUUUGCUACUUCAUUAAACUAUUAACGUAUUAAAAUUAUUGUUUUAUUAUACAAAAGAACCGUCACCCUAAGGAUUAGUCCACUCUUGAAACAUAAACUUUAGGUUUAGACUUGGUUUCCUCCCCAGUUAACCUCAUUGGGUAAAUGCAGAUAGUCCCCAGACUGAAGAAACUUAAAAUCACAAACAUUUAAGGUAGGCCACACUUGAUCUAUGAGCAACUGAGAGGGUGGAUUUUCCCCCCACACUCCAUACCUCUGAUGGUCCUACUGGUUUAGAACAGAGGUGUCUCAUGAAAUUAUAAAGUUGAAAGCUUUUUGUCUUAGCUGAGGGUAUUCCAUACAACUGGAAAAUGUUCACCGACACUACCAAGCCUUAAAUCUUAGCCUCUUCACUCUCGUAGCAGGCAUUAGUCUGAGUAUAAAACUGCCUUCCUUGCCGGCUGAGCUGCCUUGUUCACGUCUGUGCCUGUGCUUUUUGCCCAGCAUGGCACCUCCCUCCUCCCUCUUUCAUGUCUGGGUACUUGUCUCCCAGACAUUCACCUCACUCUCUUAGCUAGGCUGAGUGAGUCAGGACAAACAUAAAAACGAUAAAGACUCCCUGGAGGGAAGCGAGUGAGGGUAUUUUGAGUGUCUUCAGCAGGGAAAUGGGGUAAACACCCUCCUCUCCUGUGACCACGAGUGCCAAGUUGCUACAUUUCUAGGAAAGAGAGUACAGAUGUUGACCUCAUCUGGAAAGGUUAAUAAUUACAUGCCUUCAGAUUCUCUAGAGAACUACAUGCAAAUGACUACUUGUUUAUCUUUCACCUUACCUCAAAGUAGUUUCCUUCUUGUAAUUGUAUCCGCAGACAUUCCGUGCUAAAUCAAAGCAGUAGGUUCCUAACGGUUUUAUAGUAUUCUGGCAUCUUGGAUUCAUUUAUAUGUGCAGUUCAUUCCUGGGCUUUUAUCCCUGAAAGUGUUUCUGUUCACACCGUCCCCACUUUCCCCACCAAGCCCUGGAAGGGAACCAGAUCAGCGGCAGCAAUAUCAUAAAUAUUUGAAAGGGGAAGCGACAGUUUUUCCUUUUUCAUUUAACUCUGGAAUAUAAAUAUGAAUUCUGAGCAUUGAGUCACAACAAAACAGUGUUUUAACAAGCUUGCCACCACUGCAGCAAAAUAGAUCUGAGGCACCAACCCGUAAGGAUAAAAAGGUUCUUUUGACUCAGAGUUAUAAAGGGCCCUCCUUGGAGUGGGGGUGCUGCUGUCAAGUGAGGCACAGAGAGGAAGAGCUCAAUGCCACAAUGUCUCCUUGACAGGCAGGCCCACAGGGGCUGCCCACAGGGGCCCACAGGGGCUGAAGAACCACCCAAAGCUCCCACUCUUCCAAACUUCACCAGGCUAGGGACCAAGUCCCGGACACAUGGACCUUUGCAGACACUCAGCUCAAACUGUAAUAGUAAGACAGUAGGCACUUUCUCUCUGUUUUUGGUUUCUAAACAUGCUCCCCAGUAAAAGGAAUAAAGUUUUUUAAAUAGUAAAGGCAAGGUAUAACGAGGAUGGAGGAGGCCGCUGGAAGAGCAGAAAAAGGAAGGAAGAUGGAGAUCAGGAAGCCUUGAGUGUGUGGUCCCAAUAGACAUCUCCAGGAGUGGGGCACAGCAGACCUGGUGACCCAAAGGGAUCUCAGCAUCUCUUCAGUGGUAUUGCCUGCCCUGAACCAGGUCCUGGAUAUGUUCUACUGAACAGCCAGAGCUCUUCAGGACUUUUUAGACCAUAGAAAAGUCCCAGGAAAUAAAGACCUACAGAGUAAGAGACCUAAUGGGGUACAGCUCUGUCCAAGCGGGGCCCAUGAAUUAGACAGUCAUGUGGGCCACUGAGAAUUCCCUGCUGUUGAUCAUUGAACUAGAGUUAUAUAAGAAUGUUUCCAGUUUAAAAAAAAUCACAUAGUCUAGCAGACCCCAGUAGACAGAGAAGAGAAUGGAAAGAUGAGCAAGUAAAUGAGGCCAGAGGCUGCUAUUAGGGAACCCUGAUGAAGCACAUACAGAAAUCUAUACUACUUAAACAUCUGUGCAAGUGUCAAAGUAUUACAAAAUAAGAUGUUCAACCAAAAAUAAAAAAUAAAAAUAACAAAAAGCCCUCUGUAUAAAACCAAAACUAUGCCCUGUCUACACACAAGGUGACAGACAUCACCAGAGCAGGCCACCAAAAUUCUUUGCAUCUACAAGAAGGUUAUCUUUGAAUUUUUGAUGUUUAUAUUAAUUUCCUUCCAGAUUCAAGGCCAAGUCAUUUUGCUUGCCUGGAGCAUUAUGAAAACCUCUAGCUCAGCAAUAAGUCCCCACCCAGGACCCAUCAACCCUUUGCAGAGUGACUUUCCAUUCUAGCCUGAAUGCAUACACACAUACAUCUUCUCACUGUCUUUAACCCCCUUCACCUUCUAACAUCUGACACCCCUGGUUUUUGCCUCUGUUGUCUGCCUCUCCUCCACUUAAAUGAAGCUUCAUCUACCAAAGACAUUUAUUAGAGGGGGCAAAUCCAUAGAAUCUUCAUGCCUGGCACUGAAUAGGUUCUUAGGGAGUAUCAGCUGAGGGAAUCCGUUUUAGAAUGCACUUCUCACUUCAUCCCCUGCAAAUGGACCUGAAAUAACUUGCAAAUUUUCACACAGUCCAACUCAAAUCUUUUAAAAAGUUUUAAAUUACAUUUUAGAUUUGUUUUAUGAUAAGUCUAGUAAACUUCAAAUAAAAAAAUGCCUCUUUUUUGGAAAAGAAAUGUUAUAAAUCAUACUUGUAGUUCUGUAUUGCUGAGUUCUUUGAUGGGAUUUCUAGGUUAUAAAAGUGUUAUGCCACAACUUCAGGCAGUGUUUCAGUCUAGCAGUUGGAAGUUGCUACAUGAUUUUUUUAAUUCACUCUCAUUUGCUGAGAUUAUUAGUAAAGGCAGCUGUACUAGAGUUAUACUAUGCAUUACAAAGAGCUGUCUUCCAUUCAUGGACAUAUGUACCCCAUGCUCCACCCUGUCACCUCCGCAGUCAUGUCUGUACUGCUGACACUGGCCAGGCCCAGUGAAGGAACCCAUAAGAGCCCAGCACGAUAAGGCUUUGUACAUGACACUUAGGAAUGAUCUGUGGGUCUUUUAAGAGCCACCUACUCACUGGGGAAUGGGCCUCAGAUAAAAUAAAUCCACUAGAGUCUAGCUCUUUUCAUAUAGAUAACUUCCAUUUGUAUUCAGUCAGGAGACCUCUUCCCACUCCUGUCCAAAAACAAAAAAAAACAAAACAACAAAACCAAAAAAAAAAAAAAAAAAAAAAAAAAACCCACA
Long non-coding RNA from Mus musculus (house mouse), 9084 nucleotides. RefSeq lists it as uncharacterized. The transcript is spliced from 2 exons. Lineage: Eukaryota; Metazoa; Chordata; Mammalia; Rodentia; Muridae. The record is from RefSeq and is a predicted model, not a curated record.